RNAcentral lists this ribosomal RNA (301 nucleotides) under uncultured bacterium. RNAcentral's name for it is "partial 16S ribosomal RNA". It matches the Rfam family "Bacterial small subunit ribosomal RNA", at positions 509 to 809 of the family's 1533-position model. The record is from RNAcentral.
CAGCAGCCGCGGGAAUACGUAGGGUGCAAGCGUUAAUCGGAAUUACUGGGCGUAAAGCGUGCGCAGGCGGUUAUAUAAGACAGAUGUGAAAUCCCCGGGCUCAACCUGGGAACUGCAUUUGUGACUGUAUAGCUAGAGUACGGCAGAGGGGGAUGGAAUUCCGCGUGUAGCAGUGAAAUGCGUAGAUAUGCGGAGGAACACCGAUGGCGAAGGCAAUCCCCUGGGCCUGUACUGACGCUCAUGCACGAAAGCGUGGGGAGCAAACAGGAUUAGAUACCCGGGUAGUCCAUGUCUCUUAUAU